AUCUGGCUGAAGAGUCUCAAAUAAGACGAAACAUGCGUUUUUGAU
RNAcentral lists this non-coding RNA (45 nucleotides) under Schistosoma curassoni. Lineage: Eukaryota; Metazoa; Platyhelminthes; Trematoda; Strigeidida; Schistosomatidae. The record is from RNAcentral.